Molecule: unclassified non-coding RNA, 2930 nt
Filed under: Hevea brasiliensis (rubber tree)
Lineage: Eukaryota; Viridiplantae; Streptophyta; Magnoliopsida; Malpighiales; Euphorbiaceae
Source: RNAcentral
UUUCUUUUUUUUUUUUUUUAUUUGGAAUGGAAAAUAUCAAAAUUUUACUUUCUUUACCUUUAAUUUUUCUGGAACCCAGCAACAUUUAUGUUUCAUAGAAAUGGAAUGAUUGCCCCUUUUUUUUAAUAAUAUAUUUGUCUUUCUUUUUUGGGGAACUUGUGAUGAUCCAUAUGCACUUCUUAUGUGAUUAAAUUAAAUUCACAUGCUAUAACCUACUUAUUGGUAAGCUGAAGUGUGCUAAAAUGGUGAAUUUUAGUUAUUAACUAGUAAAAUGGCAUUAAUUUAUUAUUGGGGAAAUCAAGUUGGGGAACCUUUGUUGUUCGUCCUUAAUUUGGUGAAAAAAAAUGUACAUUGAAUUGUUUUGAAUAUUUGCAUGUUUUUAAUUCUCUAUAGUUUAGCUUUGUUGUUUUGCUAGGCUUUUCCUAGGGCUUAAUGGUUAAAUAGGCAGCUGCAGCUCAUUCAACCUUAUAUUAAAACUUGAUUUGCCAUCCAAUAUCUCAUGCAUCUCUUAACAGAAAAAUUAUAAAGGGUAUAAACUAUUCAGCCAUAUAAACAAAAGGAAGCCAAUAACCUAAUGCAACUUAUUUGAUAAAUAUAUAAAAUAGAGGAGAUAAUUUAACGAAUUUUGAUUAUUCCCUCUUGUAGCAAUUUCUUACUUUUUAUUUUCUGCAAAUAAAAGUUGAAAAAGAAGAUUGUUCAAAUAUAAGAAAACGUAAACAACAAUCCAAUUCAGUUUAUUUAUUAAACAUACAAAACACGCACAACAAAAAAAAAAGGACAACUAAAGAAACGAUGUUAACAAUUACCUCCUGCAGUUGCAAUGUUUUCCUUUUUCCUUUAUUUUGCACAUACAAAUCUCUACCAUGCAAAGUUUGAACUGGGUUUAACAUUCUGUUAACAUAUGAAUUGUUUUUUGUACUACGUACUAAAUAAAAGAAACAAAAAACAAAUAAAGUCAAGGGAGAAAAACUUAUAUAAACUUCUUUUGUUUUUUAAAAAAAUUAUAGUGGAGCAUUCCUUUUUCUUUUUGUGUGUGUAUUUAAUCUUAAAUUUUUCUUAAUUGAUAAUUGAUUUAUUUUAAUUUGCCUCUCGGUUGUUUCAAGAUGUCAACAAUAUAUAGCACUGAAGGUGUGGAGAGUCAUGAUACUGCAGUUUUUGAAUUUUCUGGAAUUUAUCAGACUUUUUAAAUAUUGUUCUAGAUUUGGUUCAGGUUUUAAUUUCCUUUAUUUUACUCAUGAUAUGAGAUUGUGUCUUUUCCUUUUAUUUGAUCUUUAAAGGAAGUAAAAAUCAUGGUGGGAGGUGUAUAAUUGGGAGCAUUGGCUGCCUGUGUAGUGCUUUUUGUGCCUAUGGGGAUAGCUGGCUAGCAUUUGAGCCACAACCGAAUGCUCUUCUUUAGUGGUGCCCUAUUCAUCAUUCUCGCAAUAGGUGUUCAUCUAACUCCCUAUUUUCCUUCUGUGUCUGAUUUUGUCGCCUCUGUUCAAUCCAUUGUUCUAUUUGAUAAUCGUGAGGAUUCUUGCAUUAAUUUGGUUAAUGAACUUGUUUGGGAUGUCAAGCCUAGUCGUAGCCUUGUUCAACGCAACACUAGUAGUAAUAGUAAUAGUAAGAAUGGUGCUAUGAUCUAUGAUAAGAUUUGGGAUUGGACGAAAACUGGGAAAGUGAAGGCUUGUGAGUUUCAGAGACUUGACAGGUCUGAUGCUUCAGAUUUGCUCAAUGGGUCCUGGGUUGUUAUUGCAGGGGAUUCACAAGCAAGGUUAAUUGUUCAAUCUCUGCUAAAUUUGAUUUUAGAUUCGAGACAAAUGGAAUCUAUUAAAGGUGAUUUGUUUAAAAGACACAGUGAUUAUGAGAUUGUUAUCGAAGAUAUCGGUAUGAAAUUGGAUUUUAUUUGGGCUCCAUAUGUGGUAAAUUUAACGGAUUUAAUGAUGGGCUUUAAGCAAAAAAGAAGUUACCCUGAUGUUUUGGUGAUGGGGGCAGGGCUGUGGCAUAUGCUUCGCAUCACAAAUGCAUCAGAUUAUGGUGUUGCUUUGCAGUCUUUGAGGAGUUCUGUUGUAUCUUUGUUACCAUUUUCACCAGAGUUGGGUGUGGAUGGGCCUGUUACAGGUGCUGUUUCUGUUAGAUCCCCACAUUUGUUUUGGCUUGGCAUGCCAAUGUUGAUUAAUGGGAUGUUGAACACAGAGGAAAAGAGGGAGAAGAUGAGUGAUGAAAUGUGGCAUUCUUAUGAUAGAGCAUUGCGUAAUAGUAGGCUCUUGCGCAGAUAUGGUGGUCCACUUCUAUUGCUGGACAUUCAAUCAAUGAGUUGGAAUUGUGGGCCUCGGUGUACUGCUGAUGGGAUGCAUUAUGAUGGAGCUGUUUAUGAAGCUGCUGUUCAUAUUUUGCUAAAUGCAUUGCUUAUUGAAUCUCAUCAGAAGCUUGGGGCUACGUAGUUUCAGAUUUUUAUUAAAUUGUGCAACUCAAACUUGGAUGACAUGAAAGGCGUAUGCAACUAUUUUCGAGCUUUUGAUUCACACGAGAGGCUGAAUUUUCUUCAGAUAUUGCACCUUUGAUAUUUCUUAAAGGCAACUCAAGAGUAAACUUUUAUACUGGUAUAUGCAUAUUGAAUUCAUUGUUUUAAUUUUGCUUUUCAUUUGAAUGAAUAUUGGAUACUCACAACGCUUGGUUUAUGUAGUGAAAAUCAAUAAGAAAAAUUUGUAUCAAUAGUAAAUAGAUGCUUGUUGGCAAUAGAUAGCAUUCUUAUGAAAUUCUGUUCAUGGAAAUCAAAUCCUCUUUGAUUUGAGGUUGUUAUUUGUUAGAAUUGAUUUUGGAUAUUUUAUGCCCAACAAAAACUGUGCUCGUCAAAGUAUGGCUGUUUCAAUAUUCAGCUGUUGUACAUUUGUUAAUUUAUGUGCUUGGAUACAAUGUUUAAGCCAAUCCUUAAAUGCAUUAUUUUCAUUUUU